RNAcentral lists this ribosomal RNA (423 nucleotides) under Campylobacter gracilis. Its description in RNAcentral is "bacterial SSU rRNA". It matches the Rfam family "Bacterial small subunit ribosomal RNA", at positions 29 to 450 of the family's 1533-position model. The record is from RNAcentral. Lineage: Bacteria; Pseudomonadati; Campylobacterota; Epsilonproteobacteria; Campylobacterales; Campylobacteraceae.
AGUGAACGCGGCGGCGUGCCUAAUACAUGCAAGUCGAACGGAAUUUAAAAGAGCUUGCUCUUUUAAAUUUAGUGGCGCACGGGUGAGUAAUAUAUAGCUAAUCUGCCCCUUGCUGGAGGACAACAGUUAGAAAUGACUGCUAAUACUCCAUGCUCCUUUUUACCAUAAGAUAAAUCGGGAAAGAAUUUCGGCAAGGGAUGAGACUAUAUCGUAUCAGCUAGUCGGUGGGGUAACGGCCUACCGAGGCUAUGACGCGUAACUGGUCUGAGAGGAUGAUCAGUCACAUUGGAACUGAGACACGGUCCAAACUCCUACGGGAGGCAGCAGUAGGGAAUAUUGCGCAAUGGGGGAAACCCUGACGCAGCAACGCCGCGUGGAGGAUGACACUUUUCGGAGCGUAAACUCCCUUUGUUAGGGAAGAAU